UACGAAGGGAGCUAGCGUUACUCGGAAUUAUUGGGCGUAAAGCGUGCGUAGGCUGCUUUGCAAGUUGGAAGUGAAAGCCCAGGGCUCAACCUUGGAAUUGCUUUCAAUACUACAGAGCUAGAAUAUCAGAGAGGAUAGCGGAAUUACUAGUGUAGAGGUGAAAUUCGUAGAUAUUAGUAGGAACACCGGAGGCGAAAGCGGCUAUCUGGCUGAUUAUUGACGCUGUUGCACGAAAGCGUGGGGAGCAAACAGG
Molecule: ribosomal RNA, 253 nt
Filed under: uncultured bacterium
Lineage: Bacteria
Description: partial 16S ribosomal RNA
Rfam family: Bacterial small subunit ribosomal RNA
Source: RNAcentral